This 572-nucleotide long non-coding RNA is filed under the name Pongo abelii (Sumatran orangutan). RNAcentral's name for it is "lincRNA". The record is from RNAcentral. Lineage: Eukaryota; Metazoa; Chordata; Mammalia; Primates; Hominidae.
AGGGAGGGAAUGGGAGGACGCUUGCGGGGUAGGGAGGCGGGGGCUGGAAAUUGGCAGGGUGAGAACUGGGGAAACUAGUCUGGGACGCAGCCCUCCUUGUACCCCUUCUUCAUUCACCCCCUUGUUGAGGCCCUUGGCUUUUGCAUAAUACACCCUUUAAAAAAAUGUAUUUAAAGAGGCUGGUUCCUAUCCAUCCGACUGGAGGCAUCUCAGUGCAAGAGCAAAGCUAAGUCCUGCACACACACCUCCCCUCCUCCUCAUCCUUCUCCUCCUCCUCCUCCUCCUCCUCUCCCCCCCCCCCAAGGUUUUCCCGAAUGUACCUACUCCGGUUACAACUAGACGCGGCCCCUCCCCCACCUGCCUCCCCCCUUCCUUCCCUCGAUCGUGGAGGGAGCGUUCUCUGUGCCUUCCCAAGUCCCCGUGGGGGACCUUCUAUGUUGGAGUGGGGUGAGGGGGGGAGGGUCAUAUAACGAAGGCCAGAAAGAACAAAUUAGAUAAUCAAAAGAAUUAUAGUAAUUGCUUUCACUUUCUCCCGCCCGCUCAGCGGAUUCCCUCCCCCGCCCCUCCCCUGG